This is a long non-coding RNA of Malania oleifera, 477 nucleotides long. RefSeq lists it as uncharacterized. NCBI's taxonomy places the organism in Eukaryota, Viridiplantae, Streptophyta, Magnoliopsida, Santalales, Ximeniaceae. The record is from RefSeq and is a predicted model, not a curated record. The transcript has 2 exons.
UUUUCUGGGUCGGAUACUUAAAUCCAUACUGUAUUUGAAAAUGGAGACGGACCGUCCGACCCGUUUAGAGUCGCCGACUCGCCUCGAUCACUAGACUUCUGUAUAAAUAAUAGCGAAGUGCGAGCCCUACUUCUUUGAUCAUCUCGGGUCAUCUAGGGUUUUGAAAGGAACCGAAGGCUAGACUGCGUCGACUGGGUCAUUCGUCAUCAUGCGAGCUAAGUGGAAGAAGAAGCGUAUGAGGAGGUUGAAGAGGAAGCGCCGAAAGAUGAGACAAAGAUCCAAGUAGGCGUGUCAUCUCUAAGUGGUCUCCUCAGCGGUUCCAUCAUUUAGUGCUAUAUUUUUUUUAGAACUAUUUUCGGCCUUUGAUCUUUUUUUUUUUUUUUGUGUGUUUGAAUGAAUCUAUGGAUUAUGCGGUUUAUCAUCACUUGUUGAAACAUUUGGUAGCUUAUUAUCUAAUGGGCAUUAAUUAGUUUGGCA